GACGAACGCUGGCGGCGUGCCUAAUACAUGCAAGUUGAGCGCUGAAGGUUGGUACUUGUACCAACUGGAUGAGCAGCGAACGGGUGAGUAACGCGUGGGGAAUCUGCCUUUGAGCGGGGGACAACAUUUGGAAACGAAUGCUAAUACCGCAUAAAAACUUUAAACGCAAGUUUUAAGUUUGAAAGAUGCAUUUGCAUCACUCAAAGAUGAUCCCGCGUUUUAUUAGCUAGUUGGUUAGGUAAAGGCUCACCAAGGCGAUGAUACAUAGCCGAACUGAGAGGGUGAUCGGCCACAUUGGGACGGAGACACGGCCCAAGCUCCUACGGGAGGCAGCAGUAGGGAAUCUUCGGCAAUGGACGAAAGUCUGACCGAGCAACGCCGCGUGAGUGAAGAAGGUUUUCGGAUCGUAAAACUCUGUUGGUAGAGAAGAACGUUGGUGAGAGUGGAAAGCUCAUCAAGUGACGGUAACUACCCAGAAGGGGACGGCUAACUACGUG
Molecule: ribosomal RNA, 497 nt
Filed under: uncultured bacterium
Lineage: Bacteria
Description: partial 16S ribosomal RNA
Rfam family: Bacterial small subunit ribosomal RNA
Source: RNAcentral